RNAcentral lists this ribosomal RNA (3970 nucleotides) under Triticum aestivum (bread wheat). RNAcentral's name for it is "partial small subunit ribosomal RNA". Lineage: Eukaryota; Viridiplantae; Streptophyta; Magnoliopsida; Poales; Poaceae. The record is from RNAcentral.
CACCGGUGUAGAGGAAAAUAAGCAGACGCAAUGACAUCGAUGCUCCCUUCCCUAUUCCAGAGCUCACGAGCGAAGGAGGCCGGCGGAGGAAGAGAAGGAGAAGGAGAAGGAGAGGGAGCCGCAUCGGGGAGGUGGAGGGAGGAGGUAGCUGCCGCGGACCAGGUCUACCCCGAGUAGAGCAGAGGUACCUCUCGUCCCCACCUGUCACCCUUCGCCACCCCUCUUCGCUCGCCGUCGGCCGUCCCUCUCGGUGCUGCCCCACCCGUCACCCUUCGCCACCCCUCUUCGCUCGCGGACGGCCGUCCCUCUCGGUGCUGCUACCAGCCGCAGUCGACGGUGAAGGAGGGGGGCGGCCGCGGCGCUCCGGCGGCUCGGGCGCGGGCUCGAAGGGCAGGCACUCGCCAGUGAGACGGGUGGCCGGCAGGGAGCAGACACACGAAGAAGAGCCCUACGACUGCGGUACCUCGAGUAGUUCGAGGGAGAGACGACGUCCUCCUAACCUAGCCUAACCAAAGAUGUACGAGAUAAUAGACAAACUCUUGACUCAACGCCGGGAGGUUUAGAAGUCGGGGUCUUCCUCCUAAACUCUCACCUCUUCCCAGUUGACUUACACUAAACCUCCUUCCUCAACAGGUCCUUAGUUUUACAAUAAUAAGAUGAUAAGACGUCCCCUCUUAGAUUUCUAAUAAACAAAGAAAAAUACGGACGUCUAGCGCAAAUCACAAACCCUAAGUGUGGGAUGUAACUAUUCCAGACUUAAAUUGUAGGUGAAAAUUGUGACCCUAGGAGUUCACAAAGUCAAGCAUGAAACGGCUGCAUGUUAGAUAACCGGUGUAAAAGAUCGUGUGAAUAAGGUUGACUUCAGUCGAGGACGAACGUGAAGAGGUGACUCACUUAUGAUUAUCAAGAUUUUUCUAUUUGGUGGGUAUCUUAACCAAGAUUAAUCUAGGAGACUUUCUACGUUCGUCGAUCUCAUGGAAUCAGGUAUCCUCAGGACGUUGACCAAGUCUUCAAGAACUCAUUUGACCUAGUCACUCUUAUAAUUAACUCAGCGACGAGUUCUUUGUUUUAUCUUAUUGCUGUCGCAUCGAUUAUGGUAAACAGACACGUACUACAUAAAACUAGAGUUCACGUAAACUUACCGAACUAAAAACGUCUCUAGAACAGUGGACGCGGGAACAAACCAGCAUGUAUUUUGACAGUAGAACGAAAUUUCAGUUCACCAGUCCAGAAACUAUCAUGCGUACCCACUUGGGUGGAAAACAACUUAAACCCUUGGCAGAUUAUAUCGAUAAAAAAUUCUUCCUCGAACUUGUCUAGAGUCAUAUACAAUUAAAACAUCUUGAUUUCCAAUCGUGUCUUAACAUACCAAAAUAAAAGACCCAGUUUUCGAACUAAGUACGUCAUGUAAGAGAUUAAGAACUAUGUAAAGUCAUAAGUUAAAAAAGUAAUUGUUAUGUUUUAUCAGUAGAACGAAGUCUAAGUUCACUGGUCCAGCCACAGCCGGACGGGUAUCGCGGAGGUGAGGUAGGGGGAGACGCAGUGAGGAUGGUGGCGAGCUCCGGUACCGGUACUACGGCGGCCACCUCAUAAUAAAAAGAUGCAAAAUAGGUACACCUAGAUUGGAAUGUAGAUGACCGGUUGGAAAACUACUUCAUUUGUAAAUGUUGAGACAACACCGAACACUAAAUGAAUAGAUUGAAAAAAGUAAUAAACAACGAAAAUGUCCGACAUUAACACGGACUGACUGAUCCAUUAAGAGUCUCUUGACUUCGUUGAUUCGAAAGUCAAGAAAGGAAUGGACGGUUACGAAGGAGGACGGAACGGUCGAUGCGCACAGGAGUGGAAACAAGUAGUUAAGCACACGUCCAUACUUAGCCACUACAAAAACUGCGGGUAUCUCGGUAAUGGAGCACGUACACAUAAAACACACGGUCAAAUGGUCAAUCACUCACUAUUACAGGCGUACUUACAAAGUAGCAAAUCGUUCACUAGUCGUUGUACGUAGAGAAUGAAAACCUAACUUCACGUCUAGAACGAUUUCUCUACUGGUACCUCAGUAAAUACAUAAGAAUACGGGGUUACGAAGUAAUUAAUAAGAAUAAUACGUUAUAUUUUAAUAAAGAAUGGCAGAAGAUAACAAAGGAGACUAAAAGAGUCAAUAAGUCUCUUGUGGUGUACAAUGUACUUAAGAUCUGAUGAAAGGAUCUCCAUCAACAAUCUUAGUAGAAGAACUUAAACGGACGAAUCGUAGAUUAUAAAGUGUGAGCGGUUAACAUUAUAGAGUGCGAACGGUUAAAAAUCUUAGUCCAAGAACUCAAACGUACGAAUUGGCACAGGGAUACGUUAACGAGUGGUUGGAGCGGUUAACACUCAAACAGGGUGUAUCACCUCAAAGACACUCAAAAACAUCAGAUAUUUAAGAACCUUUAAGAGAACAACGACGAUAUUACACCCACACAAGCCGAAGGAAGAAGUAAAUUCCACUUAGGAACGAAGGUCCAACCGGAUACUUUACUACAUCAAAGACGACCUUUUAUUCAACAAUACGUUAAUAUCAAUCCAACGGUUAAAAGGAAGUAUUGACGUAAAUUACCCAUCGACAAUACGAGUGAAACGAGUUUCUUUCCAACAGAACGGUACGAUGAAACACGAAAUUCUUUAUCCGACUGUGGUUUGGUCAUUAGGAUCUGAAGACGAAACAACCGGCUUUCAAUGAUUAAAACAAAAAGAACAAUAGAAAUCGGUAAGGUUUUGUAAAUAGACCAAAACAUCUUAAUGUCUGGUAUCUUAAUAUCGGCCGGUAUAAAAACUUACGCACUUGGAGUGUAUCUAUAGUACGAUUACAUCAAACUGCCUUCAGCAUUUUGGUUACCUAUCCGUAGCAGAAGACGAUUCCAAGGAAAGUGGGAAGAAAUCUUGGGUUGUUCUUAAGUAGUUUUUUAAUUUCUAGAACCAAUCACUAAGCAAAGUUACCGGCCAUAUCAUUCCGAUGUAAUUAAUAGUUUAAUAAGAAGUAAAGAAAAACGGACGGGAACAAAUUGUUGGAUUAUGACUAACUAGUCCAUAUAACGUUACUCACGAAUGAAUACCAAACAGGGGACAAUAAAAAACUAAGGUCAGAAGUAUGAAAGUCUGUGGAAGCUAUAUAUAUCCUUCUUCUUUCAUAAGCGAGGUCUGCUUCUACAGAUCGAACGGACACACGACAUUGUAAUUAGUCACGUAGCCCGGGUUGCUAAAGACAGUAACCUUGGAACUACUAAAUAGAGUAAAGUUGCAUUAGAUUGGGGAGACUAAAAACAGUCAUGUACUAACAUAUGGAGGAUACGGGCGAAUUAAGACACAAGUAAAACAAUUAGUUCUUUGUAGACUAAAAUACCGACCGCACGACGAGGUCGCGCUGGCGAAGCACACAACGGAGCUCAGCGCACCGGUGAUGAGAGAGCGGUUCCGCCUCCGUCGAAGGUGAGAGCUGCGGGAGACGACGCGCGAGAGCGUCCGCCGCAAGCGUUUCGGAACAGUGUCGCGACGUUCACAACGGGGGGAGGAGGGGUUCCCGUUCCACUUCCUUCCACGGACACACCAAGAAGACGUCGAGCGCCGUUCCUAACAACACAGGUUGGAUGUAUUCUUACGGUUCUUCAGGAAGAGCCUCUACUAAUUCCUGUACAUGGAGGUGAUGUUACCCUCUAGACCCGACGAAGAAACACCGAAGGUUUGAACUUUAUAAACAAACUUUCAAUCAAAUCAAAAAACAACACCUAAGUGUCGAAGAGUGUACAUGGUAGGAGAAUCUGGAAAUCUAAAGAUUUCUUUGAUUUACUUCUAUACCACCAUACCAGAGUUAUCAUGUUGAAUUUCGGAAGGUACGAAAUAUAAAAGAAAUUUUAAACGAGAACUUUUUAGUACAUAGAUACAAUCUAGGCCACUCUUUUCCGCCGAAGGUUCGUCUCCUACGCCCUCACAACCG